RNAcentral lists this ribosomal RNA (468 nucleotides) under uncultured bacterium. Its description in RNAcentral is "partial 16S ribosomal RNA". It matches the Rfam family "Bacterial small subunit ribosomal RNA", at positions 28 to 507 of the family's 1533-position model. The record is from RNAcentral.
GACGAACGCUGGCGGCGUGCUUAACACAUGCAAGUCGAACGGAAAGGCCCUGCUUUUGUGGGGUGCUCGAGUGGCGAAAGGGUGAGUAACACGUGAGUAACCUGCCCUUGACUUUGGGAUAACUUCAGGAAACUGGGGCUAAUACCGGAUAGGAGCUCCUGCUGCAUGGUGGGGGUUGGAAAGUUUCGGCGGUUGGGGAUGGACUCGCGGCUUAUCAGCUUGUUGGUGGGGUAGUGGCUUACCAAGGCUUUGACGGGUAGCCGGCCUGAGAGGGUGACCGGCCACAUUGGGACUGAGAUACGGCCCAGACUCCUACGGGAGGCAGCAGUGGGGAAUAUUGCACAAUGGGCGGAAGCCUGAUGCAGCAACGCCGCGUGCGGUAUGACGGCCUUCGGGUUGUAAACCGCUUUCGCCUGUGACGAAGCGUGAGUGACGGUAAUGGGUAAAGAAGCACCGGCUAACUACGUG